Molecule: ribosomal RNA, 447 nt
Filed under: uncultured soil bacterium
Lineage: Bacteria
Description: bacterial SSU rRNA
Rfam family: Bacterial small subunit ribosomal RNA
Source: RNAcentral
AGGACGAACGCUGGCGGCGUGCUUAACACAUGCAAGUCGAGCGGUAAGGCCCUUUCGGGGGGUACACGAGCGGCGAACGGGUGAGUAACACGUGAGCAAUCUGCCCUUCACUUCGGGAUAAGCCUCGGAAACGGGGUCUAAUACCGGAUAUGACUGCGCCAUGCAUGUGGUGUGGUGGAAAGUUCUGGCGGUGAGGGAUGAGCUCGCGGCCUAUCAGCUUUGUGGUGGGUAAUGGCCUACAAGGCUUCGACGGGUAGCCGGCCUGAGAGGGUGACCGGCCACACGUGGGACUGAGACACGGCCCAGACCUCCUAACGGGAGGCGAGCGAGUGGGGAAUAUUGGACAAGUGGGGACGAAAGCCUGAUUACCAGUACAACGUCCGCGUGAGGGAUGGACGGUCCGUUCGGGUUCGUAAACCGUUCUACCGUACGCGUCCGGACGAACGG